GACGAACGCUGGCGGCGUGCUUAACACAUGCAAGUCGAACGGAAAGGCCCUGCUUUUGUGGGGUGCUCGAGUGGCGAACGGGUGAGUAACACGUGAGUAACCUGCCCUUGACUUUGGGAUAACUUCAGGAAACUGGGGCUAAUACCGGAUAGGAGCUCCUGCUGCAUGGUGGGGGUUGGAACGUUUCGGCGGUUGGGGAUGGACUCGCGGCUUAUCAGCUUGUUGGUGGGGUAGUGGAUUGCACGGCUUUGACGGGUAGCCGGCCUGAGAGGGUGACCGGCCACAUUGGGACUGAGAUACGGCCCAGACUCCUACGGGAGGCAGCAGUGGGGAAUAUUGCACAAUGGGCGGAAGCCUGAUGCAGCAACGCCGCGUGCGGGAUGACGGCCUUCGGGUUGUAAACCGCUGUCGCCUAUGACGAAGCGUGAGUGACGGUAAUGGGUAAAGAAGCACCGGCUAACUACGUG
This 467-nucleotide ribosomal RNA is filed under the name uncultured bacterium. RNAcentral's name for it is "partial 16S ribosomal RNA". It matches the Rfam family "Bacterial small subunit ribosomal RNA", at positions 28 to 507 of the family's 1533-position model. The record is from RNAcentral.